GACAGUUUGGCCGAGUGGUCUAAGGCGCUGGCUUUAGGCGCCAGUCCGAAAGGGCGUGGGUUCGAACCCCACAGCUGUCA
Molecule: transfer RNA, 80 nt
Filed under: Perkinsus olseni
Lineage: Eukaryota; Perkinsozoa; Perkinsida; Perkinsidae
Description: tRNA-Leu
Rfam family: tRNA
About the family: Transfer RNA (tRNA) molecules are approximately 80 nucleotides in length. Their secondary structure includes four short double-helical elements and three loops (D, anti-codon, and T loops).
Source: RNAcentral